UACGAAGGGUGCAAGCGUUAAUCGGAAUUACUGGGCGUAAAGCGUGCGUAGGCGGUGAGUUAAGUCUGUCGUGAAAUCCCGGCUCAACCUGGGAAUGGCGAUGGAUACUGGCUCGCUAGAGUGUGAUAGAGGGAUGGUGGAAUUCCCGGUGUAGCGGUGAAAUGCGUAGAGAUCGGGAGGAACAUCAGUGGCGAAGGCGGCCAUCUGGAUCAACACUGACGCUGAGGCACGAAAGCGUGGGGAGCAAACAGG
This 252-nucleotide ribosomal RNA is filed under the name uncultured bacterium. RNAcentral describes it as "partial 16S ribosomal RNA". It matches the Rfam family "Bacterial small subunit ribosomal RNA", at positions 524 to 776 of the family's 1533-position model. The record is from RNAcentral.